Molecule: long non-coding RNA, 1095 nt
Organism: Microtus oregoni (creeping vole)
Lineage: Eukaryota; Metazoa; Chordata; Mammalia; Rodentia; Cricetidae
Exons: 4
Source: RefSeq, a predicted model, not a curated record
AUUUAAGCGUUCAAAACUCGGGAAACCCCGGCGAUCGCCUGUGCUCGAGCGCACACACGGUCCCGCGCGCACUCAGCUCGCGCCCGCCCUUUCCCCCUCCUGAUUUGCUUCUGGGAAAACAAGUCUUAAGAGCCGCCGACUCGCCCGAAAGUCACGCUGCCUAAGCGGGAGUCCCUGGUAAGAAGCAGGCUAAACGCUCCCCUCCCCGCCCGCUGGUGGAGCUAUAUCCUCUGCGGCCUCUAGGAAGCGCUAGACACAUACAGUGUUUAUGAACAUCACCAAAUAGACGAUAGGGAUGGUGUUGACUUCUUCUAGAAGAGUUUAUCAUCCCAUUGCUGGCCACAAAGUGCUGAGGGUAAAAUGAAGACUGAGUAGAUGGAGUUGAAAACGGGGCUCAAGGCCUGAUUUCUCAUCAUAAGCUAAUAAAGAAUUAUCCUUUGAAGCUGGCAAAAUCGGCUUGACAGAGGCUGAGAAAGGAUGAGGCUCCUGAGUGAGACAGAGAAUAUGCUCAAAGACAAGAGACACUGCACAGUCUGCUGUGGGCAUCAGUGAGCGUGCACACAGGGGAUGCUUAGUUGGCAUCUGUCUUAGCUGUGUGCUGAUUAUUCUAUGAGUCCCCUUGGAGGCCACUGCCAUCACUCCCACUGUGAUUUAAACAGGAAUGUCCCUCAUUGGCUCUCACAUUGGAGCGCUUGGUUUCCAGCUGGUGGUGCUGUUUGGAAAGGUCACGGAGCCUUGAGGAGGUGGUGUCUUGUUGGAGUCACAAGGGUGAGCCUGGAGGUGGAGUCCUGUCUGUGCUCUGGAUUCUGACUGUAGAUCAGUGUGACUAUCUGCCCUGAGUUCCUGCUGCCAUGCCUUCCCUGCUGUGAUGGACUGUGAGCCAGAAGACACUCUUCAUCCUUAAGUAGCUGCUGCCACAGCAAUGCGAAAAAUAAAUCUACAACUGUUAAACUUGUCAGAACAGGAGCUGUGGGUGCCGUAGUGGGUAGACAGGUCAGCCUGACUUUUUUUUUUUUUCUGUUUCCUGUGAUCCAAAUGUGGUAUAGGACAAUUCUGUAUUCUGUUAAUUGUGUUUUAAAUAAAUACUGAUUGGCC